Molecule: RNA transcript, 1875 nt
Organism: Oryza sativa Japonica Group (Japanese rice)
Lineage: Eukaryota; Viridiplantae; Streptophyta; Magnoliopsida; Poales; Poaceae
Gene name: serine/arginine-rich-splicing factor SR34
Source: RefSeq, a predicted model, not a curated record
AUCCGAACCGGAGUCGUCGCCGCCGUGUGCUCUCCCAUCUUUUCCCAGUCUCCGCGACCUCGAGCGGUCAUAAACCCUCCUCUCCUCCCCCUCUCCCCUCCUCUUCCCCGUGCGACCCGCCCAACCCAAACCCUAGGUCACCCAGCGCCGCGGCGCCCCCGGUUGCUGACUUGCCGCGGGAAGGAGGAUGAGCAGGCGGUGGAGCCGGACGAUCUACGUGGGGAAUCUCCCUGGUGACAUCAGGGAGAGGGAGGUGGAGGAUCUCUUCUACAAGUAUGGCCGAAUUGUUGAUAUUGACUUGAAGAUCCCUCCGAGGCCACCAGGCUAUGCUUUUGUAGAGUUUGAAGAUCCUCGUGAUGCUGAAGAAGCAUGUGCUGGCAGGGAUGGUUAUAACUUUGAUGGACAUCGUCUAAGGGUUGAACCUGCUCACGGUGGGAGAGGUAAUGGUGGUUCCUCCUUUGACCGCCCCAGCAACUUUGGUGGUGGAGGACGCCGUGGUGUGUCCAGGCACUCAGAAUACCGUGUUCUGGUUACUGGUUUGCCUUCUUCUGCAUCAUGGCAAGAUUUAAAGGACCAUAUGCGCAAGGCUGGUGAUGUUUGUUUCUCAGAAGUGUAUCGCGAGGGCGGCGGUACUGUAGGGAUUGUGGACUACACAAACUAUGAUGACAUGAAAUAUGCUAUAAAGAAACUUGAUGACAGUGAAUUCAGGAAUGCCUUUUCUAAAGGUCACAUAAGGGUGAAGGAAUAUGAUGGCAAGCGCGCCCGCUCCUAUUCACGUAGCCGAAGCCCAAGUCGUAGCCGAAGCAAAAGCAGGAGUCUAAGUAAAUCUCCUAGAACUCGCCGUUCAGCAUCCCGAUCUCGAUCUCGAUCAAGGUCUGUUUCUUCCCGUUCACGGUCAGCAUCAAAAGGGCGCUCUCCAUCAAGACCCGAUUAUCUCUUCAUUUAUCUGGGAUUGUGCGGCGAUCUGGGGAUUGCGCAUUAGGAUAUUGAGGAUGGGAUUUCCUCAAUUUGCUCUUGGUUGUAUGAGAGAUUGGGCAUAGCGCAUUGUUUGGAAUUCUGGACAUAGGAGCAUUAAGGAUUGACGAUAUUUGGAUAAUGAUGGUACAAUGACUAGGAAUGUGCUUGGCGUUCAAUGCUUGAGGAAUGAGUUCUCUCCCUACCUUUGGCAUGCUAUAUAUGGUGGUUGCGUCUUGCAUGCAUUAUUUGCAUUCAAUACUACAUAUUUUUGGACUUAAUUAUGUGCUCUUAAUCUCUUGUUUUCAUUGGGCUAUUUUCACUUUCAUUUGGUCGGUGCAAUGCUGGACAAAGCAUCAAGGUUUUUGGAAUAAGCUGUUAGACCCGCAUUUUGGAUAUUGAAUAUGGUUGCUUCUCGACUUCUUUUUUGCAGAUCACCAGCAAGAUCCAAAUCUCCAAAUGCUUCUCCUGCAAAUGGUGAAGCAUCAAGCCCCAAGAAACGGAGCCCAAGCAGGAGCCCAUCUCGUUCACGGUCUCCUGAUGCGAAAUCUGAAUAGAAGUGAUAUGCUGAUGUGAGCAGUGACACGGACUUCUCAUGUACGGCUAUUUGCUGUCCUUGAUGUCCGAUUACAUCCGAAUCUUAGCUGUGGUGCAAUGAAGCUCCAUUAAAUUUGAUACUAUGAAUUUGUAGUAAUGAAAACAUCAAACUAUGCACUUCAUGUGGCCUUCUGUGGCUGGUCUUGUUCCCUUGGGUUUUUGGUAGUUCGCCGAAUGCUACUAUCUGGAUUAUUUUUACUCAAAACAUAUGUCGGAUGCUUAUUGAUUUCCAUGUCAGUUAUUUCUUGGCACCCCCAUGUUGUGUUGCUCAUCAAUUCAUGGAAAGCUUCUGCUGCUUGUUGAGCAGCACUAUGGUGCUUGUUA